GACGAACGCUGGCGGCGUGCUUAACACAUGCAAGUCGAACGGAAAGGCCCUGCUUUUGUGGGGUGCUCGAGUGGCGAACGGGUGAGUAACACGUGAGUAACCUGCCCUUGACUUUCGGAUAACUUCAGGAAACUGGGGCUAAUACCGGAUAGGAGCUCCUGCUGCAUGGUGGGGGUUGGAAAGUUUCGGCGGUUGGGGAUGGACUCGCGGCUUAUCAGCUUGUUGGUGGGGGAGUGGCUUACCAAGGCUUUGACGGGUAGCCCGCCUGAGAGGGUGACCGGCCACAUUGGGACUGAGAUACGGCCCAGACUCCUACGGGAGGCAGCAGUGGGGAAUAUUGCACAAUGGGCGGAAGCCUGAUGCAGCAACGCCGCGUGCGGGAUGACGGCCUUCGGGUUGUAAACCGCUUUCGCCUGUGACGAAGCGUGAGUGACGGUAAUGGGUAAAGAAGCACCGGCUAACUACGUG
RNAcentral lists this ribosomal RNA (468 nucleotides) under uncultured bacterium. RNAcentral describes it as "partial 16S ribosomal RNA". It matches the Rfam family "Bacterial small subunit ribosomal RNA", at positions 28 to 507 of the family's 1533-position model. The record is from RNAcentral.